UUUUUUUACCUCUUUUUGCUUUGUUGUUGUUGUUUCUGGUCCGAUUUGCUCUUGUUCUUCCUUUAUGUGCGCGUUCCGUUUUCUUUCUCGCGAAUCCGGUCUAUUUAGCUCCGAUCUGGUUCUUUGAAGCUUGGAACUGGUUUGGUUUGGGUUGGAUUUGUGUGUUGGAAUCGAUGAUGAUGAUUAGUGUUGUUGGAAAUUUUGUGUUCAUAGUGUUCUUCAUGUUCAUGAGGUGUUCAUAUCAUUUUUGUUGAUCUUUUGUGGUCUGAUCCGAAUUUGGAUGAGAGAGAAAAGUGAAAGGUGUUUGUGAAUAUUUUAUUGGUGGUUGAAAUUUCUGACUGACUCUGACGCGUGUGAACAGUGAAUUUUUGGACCCUCUUCCCAAUGAUUAGACAGUGUAUUUAUAGUGACAAAAUAGGGUUGGCUCUGGUACAUAUCAAAGACCAAAAUACCCCUGUUGGAGACUUGGGGACAAAGACUUAA
Molecule: long non-coding RNA, 483 nt
Filed under: Medicago truncatula (barrel medic)
Lineage: Eukaryota; Viridiplantae; Streptophyta; Magnoliopsida; Fabales; Fabaceae
Description: lncRNA gene4194
Source: RNAcentral